CAAAUUGACUCUUUUGUCCUUUCCCACGGAUGCCUUUUAUCAUUUUAUUCCCCAGGGAGGUGGCUCUUGUCAAUAAACAAGCAGCAGAAAAGAAAAAGGCCAACCUCAUAGUCCUCUCAUCCUUGGAUGACUCAUCUGACAAGAAACCCAAAGGAAACACCCACAUCAAAACUACGCUUUUAAGGAAGGAAAGGGAUAUAGAAGAGAGACUAGAAGAGAAACGGAAGCUUCGUCUCCAAUCCAUUUCCUCAACUCAAAGCCCCCCGUCUAACUAUUCUCUGGACCUGAAAAGCCCCUAUGGGAUCCAGUAUGUUUCUAGUGCCAGCGAGCACGGCACCAGUAGGUCCAGAUCCUCACAGGAAGAGGUGCUCUUCAGGCUCUCACCGUCCUCCAUGGAAUGAGCUCACCCAAGAACAGGCGUGGACUGCAGAGGUGAUCAAAAACAGAAUCAGCAACGGCAAGUGAGAGCACUACCGCAGCCAGGAACAUGCGGUGUCUUCCCCAGUCCACGGGCUAAAGAACAUUAAAGUUCGAGUCUGCCACAAACGAGCAGGGCUUAAAGACGCCCUGGGUCACCUCACCCAUUUAGACAUUUCCUAAUUCAUUCUUUCAUUCAUUUAUUAACAAUAACAACACAAUACAGCCCAUCCUUAUGAAACAUAGCAAGACCUCAUCUCAAAGAACAACCAACCAGGAAGCAUUAGAAAGGAGCUGAGCGGCUGAGUGUAGUGGCCCAUGUCUUUAGUCCCAGCACUAAGGAGGCAGAGGCAGGUGGAUCCCUUAAGUACAAGGCCAGUCUCUUCCACAGACAGAGUUCCAGGACAGCCAGGGCUACACAGAGAAACUCUCUCUAAAAAAAAAAAAACCAAAAACAACAAAACAAAACAAAACCCCAUCUGACUCCAAACUGACUGAACUGAAGGUGAAUUUUAUGUUUCACACAGCCUGCUAAGGACGAGGAGAGAUGGCUUGGGGGGGGGUGUGCUAGUGGAGAGAAUGACACGAUGCCCCGGGAAGCUUGUAGGGGUGUCUUCACUGUCCUGAGGGUAAUGAGAGGUCCACAGUCUUAUACUAUGCCUUAAAGGCAUGGAUAUUCUUGUGUUAACUACACCACAGGCUGUUUCCAAAAUGCAUGUGAUAUCUGAGCCCGAUGGUGGAUGCCAGUAAUCACCGCACUCAGGAGGUGGGACAAGGACGAACAGGAGUUCAAGGCCAGCCUCCUGCACAUUAUUGUAAGAAAAAAAGCUUUUUUAUUUAGACAAAAAGGGAAAGGUGUUAGGGGUUGGUCCGUGCUAUGUAUUCUUAUGCUAAUUACUGGCCACCUGUCUCUGUUGUGUAAACCUUGCUCUGCCUAAUUUAAAGUUGAUUGGUUAAUAAAAAUGCUGAAGCCUGUGACUGGGCA
RNAcentral lists this long non-coding RNA (1402 nucleotides) under Meriones unguiculatus (Mongolian gerbil). RNAcentral's name for it is "lncRNA (ENSMUGG00000019104.1)". The record is from RNAcentral. Lineage: Eukaryota; Metazoa; Chordata; Mammalia; Rodentia; Muridae.